This 253-nucleotide ribosomal RNA is filed under the name uncultured bacterium. RNAcentral's name for it is "partial 16S ribosomal RNA". It matches the Rfam family "Bacterial small subunit ribosomal RNA", at positions 524 to 776 of the family's 1533-position model. The record is from RNAcentral.
UACAUGGGGUGCAAACGUUGCUCGGAAUUAUUGGGCGUAAAGCGCGCGUAGGCGGUUACUUAAGUCGGAUGUGAAAGCCCUCGGCUUAACUGAGGAAGUGCAUCCGAAACUGAGUAGCUAGAGUACGAAAGAGGGUCGCGGAAUUCCCGGUGUAGAGGUGAAAUUCGUAGAUAUCGGGAGGAACACCGGUGGCGAAGGCGGCGACCUGGGUCGAGACUGACGCUGCUGCGCGAAAGCGUGGGGAGCAAACAGG